Molecule: ribosomal RNA, 499 nt
Filed under: uncultured bacterium
Lineage: Bacteria
Description: bacterial SSU rRNA
Rfam family: Bacterial small subunit ribosomal RNA
Source: RNAcentral
AACUCAAAUGAAUUGACGGUCCCCCUACGGGAGGCAGCAGUGGGGAAUUUUGCACAAUGGGCGAAACCCUGAUGGAGCAAUUCCGCGUGAGUGAAGAAGGCUUUCGGGUUGUAAAGCUCUUUUAUAUGGAAAGAAAAGGUGCGGUAUAACAUAGCGUGCUAAUGACGGUACCUUCAGAAAAAGCCCCGGCUAACUACGUGCCAGCAGCCGCGGUAAUACGUAGGGUGCGAGCGUUAUUCGGAAUUAUUGGGCGUAAAGCGUGCGCAGGCGGUUUGUUAAGUAAGAUGUGAAAUCCCCGGGCUCAACCUGGGAAGGUCAUUUGAAACUGGCAGACUAGAGUGCGUAAGAGGGGAGUGGAAUUCCACGUGUAGCAGUGAAAUGCGUAGAGAUGUGGAGGAACACCAAUGGCGAAGGCAGCCCCCUGGUAUGACACUGACGCUGAGGCACGAAAGCGUGGGGAGCAAACAGGAUUAGAUACCCUGGUAGUCCACGCCCUAAA